CGGGCUCGGGGGUGCUGGGCUGCUUGUCUCUGGAGAGCAAUGUUGAAUCCCUGAGAAGAGAGAGCAUGGGGCGUGCUGAUUUAAAAACAGAAAAUGCAAAGUCGGACUGAAAAUAUCCUUAGUCUUCCAAGCAAUCUGCUUAAGGGUUCCACACUUACCUUAAUUUGGUGAGCAAAGAAGCUGCCCUAUUUUCCUUUCUUCUUCUUCGACAACUGGAACCAGCCUUUCCCGAACACUACCACCAUG
RNAcentral lists this non-coding RNA (246 nucleotides) under Otolemur garnettii (small-eared galago). Its description in RNAcentral is "Voltage-gated potassium-channel Kv1.4 IRES". It matches the Rfam family "Voltage-gated potassium-channel Kv1.4 IRES". Rfam says of the family: This family represents the Kv1.4 voltage-gated potassium-channel internal ribosome entry site (IRES). This region has been shown to mediate internal ribosome entry in cells derived from brain, heart, and skeletal muscle, tissues known to express Kv1.4 mRNA species. The record is from Rfam by way of RNAcentral. Lineage: Eukaryota; Metazoa; Chordata; Mammalia; Primates; Galagidae.